AGCCAGACUCCUACGGGAGGCAGCAGUGGGGAAUAUUGCACAAUGGGGGAAACCCUGAUGCAGCGACGCCGCGUGAGUGAAGAAGUAUUUCGGUAUGUAAAGCUCUAUCAGCAGGGAAGAAAAUGACGGUACCUGAUUAAGAAGCCCCGGCUAACUACGUGCCAGCAGCCGCGGUAAUACGUAGGGGGCAAGCGUUAUCCGGAUUUACUGGGUGUAAAGGGAGCGUAGACGGUGAUGCAAGUCAGAAGUGAAAGCCCGGGGCUCAACUCCGGGACUGCUUUUGAAACUGUGUAACUGGAGUGCAGGAGAGGUAAGCGGAAUUCCUGGUGUAGCGGUGAAAUGCGUAGAUAUCAGGAGGAACACCAGUGGCGAAGGCGGCUUACUGGACUGUAACUGACGUUGAGGCUCGAAAGCGUGGGGAGCAAACAGGAUUAGAUACCCUAGUACA
This 448-nucleotide ribosomal RNA is filed under the name uncultured bacterium. RNAcentral's name for it is "bacterial SSU rRNA". It matches the Rfam family "Bacterial small subunit ribosomal RNA", at positions 329 to 794 of the family's 1533-position model. The record is from RNAcentral.